GGACGAACGUUGGCGGCGUGCUUAACCCAUGCAAGCCGAACGGAAAGGCCCUGCUUUUGUGGGGUGCUCGUGUGGCGAACCGGUGAGUAACACGUGAGUAACCUGCCCUUGACUUUGGGGUAACUUCAGGAAACUGGGGCUAAUACCUGAUAGGAGCUCCUGCUGCAUGGUGGGGGUUGGACAGCUUCGGCGGUUGGGGUUGGACUCGCGGCUUAUCAGCUUGUUGGUGGGGUAGUGGCGUACCAAGGCUUUGACGGGUAGCCGGCCUGAGAGGGUGACCGGCCACAUUGGGACUGAGAUACGGCCCAGACUCCUACGGGAGGCAACAGUGGGGAGUAUUGCACAAUGGGCGGGAGCCUGAUGCAACAACGCCGCGUGCGGGAUGACGGCCUUCGGGUUGUAAACCGCAUUCGCCUGUGACGAAGCGGGAGUGACGGUAAUGGGUAAAGAAGCACCGGCUAACUACGUG
RNAcentral lists this ribosomal RNA (469 nucleotides) under uncultured bacterium. RNAcentral's name for it is "partial 16S ribosomal RNA". It matches the Rfam family "Bacterial small subunit ribosomal RNA", at positions 27 to 507 of the family's 1533-position model. The record is from RNAcentral.